CUUGCUAGAAACGCGUCACGUAACUGACCGCCCGGGACAUUAUCGCUGAUAACAGAAAGACGUUUAUAUCCAUGGUAUUUUUAACCUACGUUUAGUAAUUGUUUUUGCCGCCAUCCUAUUUUAAAUUAUAAUUAUGUAUUUACCUAUACUGCGUCCAAAAGUAGAUACAAGUUAUAAUAUUAUAAUCUAUCUUGUUUAGAUCAUACAUCGGAUAUUAAAUAUUAAUACCAAAAGCGAGACGGAAAUUAGUACAUGUCGUAAUAAAAAGCAAUAAUCAUAUCACUGAAAAACAAAAUUGAAACGAUUACUNGUCCAAAAGUAGAUACAAGUUUUAAUAUUAUAAUCCAUCUUGUUUAGAUCAUAUAUCGGAUACUAACAAUUAAUACCAAAAGCGAGACGAAAAUUAGUACAUGUCGUAAUAAAAAGCAAU
Molecule: non-coding RNA, 430 nt
Organism: Cinara cedri
Lineage: Eukaryota; Metazoa; Arthropoda; Insecta; Hemiptera; Aphididae
Source: the annotation of a GenBank genome assembly